GCGGACGGGUUAGUACGCGUGGGACAUACCCUUUUCUACGGAAUAGCCUCGGGAAACUGAGAGUAAUACCGUAUACGCCCUUCGGGGGAAAGAUUUAUCGGAUAAGGAUUGGCCCGCGUUAGAUUAGAUAGUUGGUGGGGUAACGGCCUACCAAGUCUACGAUCUAUAGCUGGUUUUAGAGGAUGAUCAGCAACACUGGGACUGAGACACGGCCCAAACUCCUACGGGAGGCAGCAGUGGGGAAUCUUAGACAAUGGGCGCAAGCCUGAUCUAGCCAUGCCGCGUGUGUGAUGAAGGCCUUAGGGUCGUAAAGCACUUUCGCCAGGGAUGAUAAUGACAGUACCUGGUAAAGAAACCCCGGCUAACUCCGUGCCAGCAGCCGCGGUAAUACGGAGGGGGUUAGCGUUGUUCGGAAUUACUGGGCGUAAAGCGUACGUAGGCGGAUCAGAAAGUAGGGGGUGAAAUCCCGAGGCUCAACCUCGGAACUGCCUCCUAAACUCCUGGUCUUGAGUUCGAGAGAGGUGAGUGGAAUUCCAAGUGUAGAGGUGAAAUUCGUAGAUAUUUGGAGGAACACCAGUGGCGAAGGCGGCUCACUGGCUCGAUACUGACGCUGAGGUACGAAAGUGUGGGGAGCAAACAGGAUUAGAUACCCUGGUAGUCCACACCGUAAACGAUGAAUGCCAGUCGUCGGGCAGUAUACUGUUCGGUGACACACCUAACGGAUUAAGCAUUCCGCCUGGGGAGUACGGUCGCAAGAUUAAGACUCAAAGGAAUUGACGGGGGCCCGCACAAGCGGUGGAGCAUGUGGUUUAAUUCGAAGCAACGCGCAGAACCUUACCAACCCUUGACAUCCUG
This 855-nucleotide ribosomal RNA is filed under the name uncultured bacterium. RNAcentral describes it as "bacterial SSU rRNA". It matches the Rfam family "Bacterial small subunit ribosomal RNA", at positions 98 to 991 of the family's 1533-position model. The record is from RNAcentral.